Molecule: non-coding RNA, 23 nt
Filed under: Arabidopsis thaliana (thale cress)
Lineage: Eukaryota; Viridiplantae; Streptophyta; Magnoliopsida; Brassicales; Brassicaceae
Source: RNAcentral
CAACCGGCACUCCAAGGACAUCA